GCGGGAAUAGCUCAGUGGUAGAGCAUCGCCUUGCCAAGGCGAGGGUCGCGAGUUCAAGUCUCGUUUCCCGCUCCA
RNAcentral lists this transfer RNA (75 nucleotides) under Chloroflexi bacterium RBG_13_51_18. RNAcentral's name for it is "tRNA-Gly". It matches the Rfam family "tRNA". From Rfam's summary of the family: Transfer RNA (tRNA) molecules are approximately 80 nucleotides in length. Their secondary structure includes four short double-helical elements and three loops (D, anti-codon, and T loops). The record is from RNAcentral. RNAcentral also lists the same sequence under 3 other names. Lineage: Bacteria; Bacillati; Chloroflexota.